RNAcentral lists this ribosomal RNA (504 nucleotides) under Triticum aestivum (bread wheat). Its description in RNAcentral is "partial small subunit ribosomal RNA". Lineage: Eukaryota; Viridiplantae; Streptophyta; Magnoliopsida; Poales; Poaceae. The record is from RNAcentral.
AUGGAAAACCCUGUUGAUGCACCUAAACCCUAUCAAUGGAUAUGGAAAUCAUGCUCUUUACCAAAGCAGAAAUUCUUCUUCUGGCUCUUGUUACAAGACAGAUUAAACACUAGAGAUCUACUAAAAAGGAAGAAUUUCUACAUUGAGACUAGUAAGUGUGAAUUAUGUGAUGAUGAACCUAAUGAACAUUUAAUGCAUUUGUUUUUUAGCUGUGAUUUCAGUCAAAACUUCUGGAUGAACAUUGGCUACCAAUGGAACACUGAUCAUAACCUCAUAGAAAUGCUCCUGGAGGGAAGGAAGCAAGAUACACAUGGAUGCUUUAAAGAAUGUCUAAUUGCUGGAUGCUGGAGUCUAUGGAAACACAGAAAUAGCAUAAUUUUUGACAACAAGGUCAAAAAUAUGACAUUCUGUAUUGCCACUUUCAAGGAGCACUUUUGCAUGAUUAUAAAGAAGGCAAAACCAGGAUUGAAAGAGGGCAUGCAAAGCUGGCUAGAUCAUUUGUAG